UACGGAGGGUGCAAGCGUUGUCCGGAUUUAUUGGGUUUAAAGGGUGCGUAGGCGGCCUCUUAAGUCAGUGGUGAAAGCCCGCGGCUCAACCACGGAACUGCCCUGGAAACUGCUCGGCUUGAGUACAGACGAGGUUGGCGGAAUGGAUGCUGUAGCGGUGAAAUGCAUAGAUAGCAUCCAGAACCCCGAUUGCGAAGGCAGCUGACUAGGCUGUAACUGACGCUGAGGCACGAAAGCGUGGGGAGCGAACAGG
Molecule: ribosomal RNA, 253 nt
Filed under: uncultured bacterium
Lineage: Bacteria
Description: partial 16S ribosomal RNA
Rfam family: Bacterial small subunit ribosomal RNA
Source: RNAcentral